AGUCUUCAGGGCGGGGUGCAAGUCCCCACCGGCGGUACAGCCCGCGAGCAGCUUUUAAAAGCUGCAUGAUCCGGUGUGAUUCCGGAGCCGACAGUAUAGUCUGGAUGGAAGGAGAUG
RNAcentral lists this non-coding RNA (117 nucleotides) under pig gut metagenome. Its description in RNAcentral is "FMN riboswitch (RFN element)". It matches the Rfam family "FMN riboswitch aptamer (RFN element)". From Rfam's summary of the family: The RFN element is a highly conserved domain that is found frequently in the 5'-untranslated regions of prokaryotic mRNAs that encode for flavin mononucleotide (FMN) biosynthesis and transport proteins. This element is a metabolite-dependent riboswitch that directly binds FMN in the absence of proteins. In Bacillus subtilis, the riboswitch most likely controls gene expression by causing premature transcription termination within the 5' untranslated region of the ribDEAHT operon and precluding access to the ribosome-binding site of ypaA mRNA. The record is from RNAcentral.